This is a non-coding RNA of Chrysemys picta bellii (western painted turtle), 214 nucleotides long. Lineage: Eukaryota; Metazoa; Chordata; Testudines; Emydidae. The record is from RefSeq and is a predicted model, not a curated record.
CGCAGGGCACGGAGGUGCAGGUGGAGGACAUCAAGCGCGUGUACUCCCUGUUCCUGGACGAGUCCCGCUCCACCCAGUACAUGAAGGAGUACCAGGACGCCUUCCUCUUCAACGAGCUCAAGGGAGACACCAUGGACACAUCGUGAUCCCCCCCCCCCGCCCGUCCAGCCGUUUCAUUGGUUUCUGAUUUUGUAAAAUAAACGUUUUGGAAAAA